UCAAGAAACUUCCACAAUGGGCGAAAGCCUGGUGGAGCGACGUCGCGUGAUGGACGAAGUGCUUCGGCACGUAAACAUCUUUUAUGUGGGAUGAAAUUAUUGACAGUACCACAUGAAUAAGGGGCUCCUAACUCUGUGCCAGCAGGAGCGGUAAUACAGAGGCCCCAAGCGUUAUCCGGAAUCACUGGGCGUAAAGGGUGUCGAGGCGGUUGUAUUAGUCGUUCGUAAAAUCUACGAGCUUAACUUGUAGGCGGCGAACGAAACGGUACGACUUGAGGUUUGGAGAGGUGCGUGGAACUCACGGUGUAGGGGUGAAAUCCGUUGAUAUCGUGGGGAACACCAAAGGCGAAGGCAGCGCACUGGCCAAAAUCUGACGCUCACACACGAAAGCUAGGGUAGCGAAGAGGAUUAGAUACCCCCGUAGUCCCUGAGCGGGCUGGCAAGGCGCAU
Molecule: ribosomal RNA, 450 nt
Filed under: uncultured bacterium
Lineage: Bacteria
Description: bacterial SSU rRNA
Rfam family: Bacterial small subunit ribosomal RNA
Source: RNAcentral